Molecule: long non-coding RNA, 2012 nt
Organism: Fukomys damarensis (Damara mole-rat)
Lineage: Eukaryota; Metazoa; Chordata; Mammalia; Rodentia; Bathyergidae
Exons: 3
Source: RefSeq, a predicted model, not a curated record
UUCCAGGUCAGUCUCAACUACAUAGUGAGACCCUGUCUCAAAAAAACAAACAAACAAAAAAACCAAACAAAACCGUGUCCAGGAGGCUGCUGGAGAGGAGCCUGCGCUGUGAAUCGGAUCCAGAGCACCUGGACGCAUUCUUGGCUUCCCACCCUCUAGACCCCCUCUUGUUCCAGUACCAACUUAGUCACAGUCGGGUGCAUCUUCACCGCUCUGAAGCAUUGGGCAGGGGCUACAGCCUUGGGGGUGGAAUAGAGGUCCCUCAGGAUGCGUGGAGUUCCCAUCAUUAUGUUUCUUUGAGGAGUCUCACUGGGGCUGAAAGAAAAAAGCAUCAGCUGGAUUUUUUCCUACCCCUCACCCCCGCUUUUCUUUGUCCCACCCCCAGCUGUAGUUAAUUUCAGUGCCUUACAAAUCCUAAGCUCAGAGAAAGUUCUGUUUCCGUUCAGAGAGAAGGGAACCUCCACGGCUCCCUCUGCCUUGUUAUCCAAGUGUGGUUGUUUAUGCAGCUCCAUCCUAAGAACUGCCGGCCCUGGCUGGAGCCGAGUCAUGUACUGGAAGGAGCUGGGUCUACAAGGGAGAUGCAGAGCUGAGCCAGUCACAUCAGUGAUCGGUGAUACUGGACUCAGGACUUGGCAGUCAGUCCCUGCUCUCCCACCUGCAAGCUGUGCAUCUGCAGGCAAGUAUUCGUACCUCCAGGAGUUUCCUCAUCUGUCACAUUGGGCCAGGUGACCUCUCCCUGGAGUCCUUCCGGCUAAAAGCUUAAGACACCACUGUUGCAAAACCCAGGGAAUCAACCCUUGUUUGUGUUGAAAAAAAAAGGUGACAGGGAUUAUCUGUUACUUAAGGUCCUUCAGUCCCAAGCCCAGCUCUCAUCUCAUUUUCAGAAAGGCACAUCUGGCACUGGCCGGGAAGUGUCCAUCUCACCCCUCUGCCUGCCAAAAUCCUUGUAGAGUCAUCCUCUGACUGAAGGAUGUGCUCCCAUUCCCUGCACUGCCUGGCUCACUGCAAAGUGUUCUAGAGUGGUCGUGCAGGUACUGAGUGCCUUUGUGGCAUUCAGAAAGUUAAGCCCCCCUUGUCUGUUUGGCCCUGGAGGAGGCAGAAGGGAGUCCUCAUUCUCUAGUAUGAGAAGCACAUGACUCCUGGCAUGUGUGACCCCCCCCCAGUGCUAGACUGAUGACUCUACUUAAUGUAGAUGAAUGGUUACCUGAGCAGAAGUACCAUCAUUUCACCCUUAAGAGCCUCCAUCCUGAAGCCACUGGGCUGUCGCCACAGCUGUGUCACCCUUAGUCUUCUCAUCAGAAUCCAGCCCUCCACAGACCAUACCUGGGCCCUGGAAGGGAAGGUAUUUUGGAGUCACGUCAGCCUCAGGGUGUCUGUCCAUCUAUGCAGCAGGCUCCCGAUGGAGUUGAACUUGGUACCACUGGGCAGUGUGUGUGUAAAGAGCAAUGUGCCUCUCCCCUCCAGAGCCUUGGUUUCUUGGCUGCAUGUAGAAUUUCUGUAAGAUCAGAAUUGUAGCCAAUUUCUUUGGCUGGAAGGGUGAAUUAUUGGUCGUUAGUGACAGGGAAGAGGGGUGGGAGUGGCUGUGGCAGUGUAUGAUGUGUGAUUAUUUUUUCUCUUUGGUCACAGGGACCAAAGAGAAAGGAAUGAGUUUCCCAUCAGACUUGCAGCUGCAGAGACUGUGCCUCUAGGACUUGUGUUCCUGUGCUGUGGGGCCACUGUGUCUGUACAAAUAAAAAGUCUGGCUUGAAAUUAGCCUUUGUCCUUUCUUGCUCAGAGGAGUCAGACCUGGCUUCGGGUGUAGCUGCAUCACUCUGCAGCUCAGUUGCCUCCAAACCCACACGCCCAUGGGCAAGGGCUAAAAACAUUGGUGUGGGGGGAACAGGACCGACAAGUCAAUUUCCGUCAUUUUCCCAGGUGAUCCAGAGUAGGUGUCACAGAUCUCUGCAAGGGAGAGGCAGUGACAGGCGAGCAUCCAGAUCUGUCGCGCGCACCUCGCCAGCAAGGAGCACGCA